GUCACAAUACGUUUUCUUCUCAUGUCAUAAUACGCUUUUACAAUUUAUAUGGACAAAAUCGUAAUAUAAACGAGGUGGUACUAAUUUGGGUCUGCACGUCCUUAGUCCCUAAUUUUUGUCUCCUGCUUUUUUGGGUAAUCAUCCCGCACUCCGCAAACUUUCAUCUGUUAUUAAUUAUUAAGUGAAAAAAGGAUUCUAGAGGCCCUCUCUCUCCCGCACGAGGACGCGAGACACCCCGGAACUAGGGUUCCUUUCACCGCCGCGCCCCCAUGGCACCGCUUACGGCAGCCCUCGCCACCAUCUUCCGUCCCCAAUCACCGUUGUAGUCCCCCGCCGCCGGUAAAUAGCCUUGACGGAGCCCUAGCCACUGGCUCCCUAGAGCACGGCGCCCGUCGAUAGCCACGAUGGAGCGCCGGUGGAUGUCCUGAUUGUGGGUGAGGACCCCGCCGAGGCGACUAACCUCGACACCGCGCGGCACCCCCAGGCCCCAGCAUCUCUGCCAUCGCCUCGCGUUGCCGUGCGCAAGGAUACCACCACCUCUCCCUGACAUCUCUGUCUCCACUCCCCCGAGGUGUGCUGCUCGCCGGCUCCACACCUCUAUCCUCUCCCAUCCAGUGUUGCUCACGACCUGCUACAGAGAUCAAACUUUGCGUCUCCCGUGCAGGCCCUCCUCGCGGACAGCCUCCAACCCACACAAGCUCCCCUAUUCUGGCUCUGCAGCCUCCCAUGGCUGAGCAACAAAGAGAUCGAGAGGGGAAUACUCAGUUGAUUUUUCAGGGAUUGGAGAUUGAUCUUAUUUGUUUGGUUGUCCGUGGAUUCAAAGAUGAAGUAGAUAGUAAAGGCCAAGGCAACGGGCAUCAGACAUGUUAAUUUUUCUGAACUCUACUAUGGAACAUGUGUUUCUGAAUUUCUGCCAAAGUGUCAACUGUGGAUCGUACAUAGUAGUGCUCUUUUGAUAGUAGGUGGUCUGAAUUUCUGUCAAAGUGAUAAUGUGGAUCGUACAUAGUAGUGCUCUUUUGAUAGUAGGUGGUCGAAGUGUCGAAACACUCGAACAAGCACAAACUGAUCCUAGCAUCGAAGUGCUUUGUUUUUCCUUUGCAUCAAACUAUUUUUGUGUGCUCCAGAGUUCAGUGGGACAUAUGAUUGUCGUGCUCCAGCCCGUUUAAUCUCAGGUUUGAUCUUUUUUCAGCUCUUAUAUGUAUAGUACUUGGUUAUACAAACAUGGAACUGAUGGAUAUGUUGGAUUAAUGGAUGCAUAAUUACACACCUGAUGAUGAAUAGAUGGAAUUAAUGGAUGCAUACAUAUAUGAUUAGACCCUUAAUAAGCUUAGAUGUACUAUGGUUUAUUGCAUUCUCAGUAGGUUGAUAAUUACUGUAUAUGAAAACAAAAUUGCGCGUUCUUAUUUUGUUGGAAUAUUCCCACAAGGCCACACCGGCAAGAUAAUUAGUUUCUUUUUUAUGAAACCAAUAGCUAAUCUAUAUAUUUGCAGGUGAUUCAGAUGAGCAUCUCCCGACUUUAUGCAACAAUCAAAUUUAUUUGAAGUACCAAUAUUUGCAAUAAACAUUCUUAAUCCAUAUAAGUUACGGGAUUUAUAAAUCUUUUCACCACUUCAUAUGUUUGGAGGGGAACAUCUAAGAAACCGAUGGAUCACGUAUAUGUUUUAUGGCAUAAAUACAAUAUAAUUAAUGUGAAAACCACUGAUGUGUCUUAGGAUCACAUGAUCUGUUUAAAAUAAUAUAUAAUUUGCACUCAGCGGAAAAAACUCCCAAAAAAGUUCGCAUGUAAAUGACUGAAUAUUAUAUCCAUAUUUCAGUUUUGUCUCAUUGACAAAAGUAAUCAUUGCGAUGCACCUGAAGAUAUAUACGAUUAUCAUGGUAAGUAUUUCCGUUCCGUGCAGGGUCUUGCGAGCGGGGAAGGAGAGCACCUGUGAGGUAAGAAGGCACCAAUGCAACACGCUGUGAAACCUCGGCAUCACAGACGGGAUUCUGUCCAAGGAUGCAGAUUUUGAAGUGUCAAGUAUGAUGAUUUGGUUGGAUGCCUUCUGCCUCUGAGCUUCACUGAACACUUGCGUCCACCACCAACCUGCACAUCCGGAAGAAGAGAAGCAAGCUUUCUCCCUCAACCACAACCCGCAUCCAUGAUCCCAGUGCAAAGCUCCUGGUCAACAAUGCCUCACAUGAUGUGUCAUGGAGCCGCCACCCACUGAUGCCUACCACCUCGAUCCACUCAGUUAUGCCCCUCAAUGGAUCUGGGGAGAGAACCCAUGACUAUGAGCAUUGAGAAGAUUAGGUGCGGCAAUUAGGUGUGUGGUCACAAAAAUGAUUGUUUCAUGCUUCUCUUCGCCCAUCUGUAAUGUGUACUCAUCCAGAGCAAUCUAUAAUUUUUUUGGCAUAGUCUGUAGCUUUGAAUUAACUCCGUAGCCUCCAUGUUCUUAAAUAAUUUAAGUGGGUUAAUUAAGGGACUGCAUUGCAAUUUGUUUUAGGGUUGGAAGUCAAUAUACUUUAACUUAGGUUAGUGCUUUGUUUGGGAUAGAAAAGUUGGUAAGCUAUUGGUAAU
This 2557-nucleotide long non-coding RNA is filed under the name Triticum aestivum (bread wheat). Its description in RNAcentral is "long non-coding RNA (TAES_LNC010520)". The record is from RNAcentral. Lineage: Eukaryota; Viridiplantae; Streptophyta; Magnoliopsida; Poales; Poaceae.